AUUGUUGAGAGUAUACCCUUUGUGGGAGUUGGGAAUGUCCAAAGCACAAAAAGUGCCUUGGAGUUGAGUCCGCGAGAGCAAAUGAGGCAAAUGGCAUCAUUGGGCAGAAGUUGCUCUCGGGGACCGGUCUCUUCAGGUGAGAGACCGGUUCCCCUCGCUGGUUGUAGCGGGGUUGCGUGAUGCAACCGGUCCCUGGCAGGGAGGGACCGGUUCCCGAACGUGGUCGCAGCGAGAGAAGCCAAAAAUUGGCUAAGUCCUGAAAAUCAAGCUCUCGGGGACCGGUCUCUCAGGUGAGGACCGGUCUCCCGGGGAGAGACCGGUUCCCGAACGCGUGCGCCCGAGGGAAGCUCUCGGGGACCGGUCCCAAGUCGGGGAGACCGGUCCCUCCGCGCGAAAACUGCCCAGUAAGGGCUGUGCAAGGGGUUAAAAGUUGAGGGGUCUAAAUGCAAAAUGGCCUUUAUUAGAGUGGGCUGAGCCCUCUCUCUCCCUCACACUCUCUCAUUUCACUCUCUCACUCUCAUUUCUCUCUUGCUCU
RNAcentral lists this long non-coding RNA (535 nucleotides) under Ananas comosus (pineapple). Its description in RNAcentral is "long non-coding RNA (ACOM_LNC039250)". The record is from RNAcentral. Lineage: Eukaryota; Viridiplantae; Streptophyta; Magnoliopsida; Poales; Bromeliaceae.